RNAcentral lists this ribosomal RNA (622 nucleotides) under uncultured bacterium. Its description in RNAcentral is "bacterial SSU rRNA". It matches the Rfam family "Bacterial small subunit ribosomal RNA", at positions 110 to 720 of the family's 1533-position model. The record is from RNAcentral.
GUAACGCGUAGGUAACCUGCCUCUUAGCGGGGGAUAACUAUUGGAAACGAUAGCUAAUACCGCAUAAAAGUCGAUAUCGCAUGAUAUUGAUUUGAGAGGUGCAAAUGCAUCACUAAGAGAUGGACCUGCGUUGUAUUAGCUAGUUGGUGAGGUAACGGCUCACCAAGGCGACGAUACAUAGCCGACCUGAGAGGGUGAUCGGCCACACUGGGACUGAGACACGGCCCAGACUCCUACGGGAGGCAGCAGUAGGGAAUCUUCGGCAAUGGGGGCAACCCUGACCGAGCAACGCCGCGUGAGUGAAGAAGGUUUUCGGAUCGUAAAGCUCUGUUGUAAGAGAAGAACGAGUGUGAGAGUGGAAAGUUCACACUGUGACGGUAACUUACCAGAAAGGGACGGCUAACUACGUGCCAGCAGCCGCGGUAAUACGUAGGUCCCGAGCGUUAUCCGGAUUUAUUGGGCGUAAAGCGAGCGCAGGCGGUUAGAUAAGUCUGAAGUUAAAGGCUGUGGCUUAACCAUAGUACGCUUUGGAAACUGUUUAACUUGAGUGCAGAAGGGGAGAGUGGAAUUCCAUGUGUAGCGGUGAAAUGCGUAGAUAUAUGGAGGAACACCGGUGGCGAAA